This is an RNA transcript of Cercocebus atys (sooty mangabey), 1059 nucleotides long. RefSeq lists it as uncharacterized. The record is from RefSeq and is a predicted model, not a curated record. The transcript has 2 exons. NCBI's taxonomy places the organism in Eukaryota, Metazoa, Chordata, Mammalia, Primates, Cercopithecidae.
AUGCUCCGAAGCCUGUCGCUCAGCUGCCAGAUCUGCUUCUCUUCACCGUCCGCCCAGCCUAUCGCGCGCCUCGUCAGGUCCCCAUUCGGCACGUGGCUUGUCUCCCGUCGUCCCCACCCUUGCCCCUCUUGGCCGCUCAGGGCAGCUCUGGGAUUUGGCAGACGCCAGUCCUCCCUGAGAUGCCUCCCCAUCCUUCCCUCCGCCAGGCCCUACGUCUCCGCAAACCCCCCGCUUCGGGGAGACCGCUUCAGACAGGAAGCUGAGUCCGGGCCUGGGGUAAGGGACCUGCCCAAUCCUGUGACAGCCCGCGUCCUUCUGACAGUCACCUCCCACUAGCGGUGACCUUCCCGGUGUCCCACUGAGAAGUGGGCUCUUCCUUGGCAGGGGCUUCUUCACUGCAUCGCUGUGGAUAUCGAGGUGGGGCAGGAGAGUGAGGAGAAAACAAGAGAAGAGGGAGGUAGGGCCAGCGAGGGACAAAACGGGAGGGAAAUUUAGAUGGGAAGUGGAUGGGUCUGAGGAAUUUGAACAGACACUGAGAAAAUGAAGGAGAGUGACCUGAGCAAGUAGUAGUGAAGUAAACUGGAACUACGCAAAAACGCAAUCAGCAGAGAUGUGGAGGACAGAAUACAAUGAGGGCCCUGACCAUCAGUAGCAGAGGGGGCAACAGAAGCCUAAUCCCAAAUUCCUUAGAUAAUUUUCUGAUUUCCAAAUUAGUUUCCUUUUUAAAUUUGUUGUAUCAGGUUCAGUUUAUGAGGCCUCAAUACUUUUCAGUCUUAAUUAUGUAUUGAAAAUACUUUUUGUUUGGUAAAUACUUUUACAUUAAUUCAGUGUGCACUUUGUAAGAAUAUUGAUGAUUUGAGUUAGUUUAGUUUUCAACAUCUCCUCUAUUCCUUUAUAGACUCUCUGUAUUAAUGACUGUAGGAUAAAAUUUCCAACUAAGUAUAAAUAACAAUUUUCUUUGUGCUGUUUUCUGCAAUUAUUGAAGGAUGGGCUGAAUUGUCCUAGAACUUUGUUCCAACAGAUUCCAUGUGUUCAUAAUGAAUAAAUUGUUCAAAGAUA